This 279-nucleotide ribosomal RNA is filed under the name uncultured bacterium. Its description in RNAcentral is "partial 16S ribosomal RNA". It matches the Rfam family "Bacterial small subunit ribosomal RNA", at positions 506 to 784 of the family's 1533-position model. The record is from RNAcentral.
UGCCAGCCGCCGCGGUAAUACUGAAGGUGCAAGCGUUAAUCGGAAUCACUGGGCGUAAAGCGCUCGUAGGUGGCUUUGUAAGUCAGAUGUGAAAGCCCACGGCUCAACCGUGGAAUUGCAUUUGAUACUGCAUCGCUAGAGUAUAGGAGAGGAAGGUAGAAUUCACAGUGUAGCGGUGGAAUGCGUAGAUAUUGUGAAGAAUACCAAUGGCGAAGGCAGCCUCCUGGAUCUGUACUGACACUGAGGUGCGAAAGCGUGGGUAGCGAACAGGAUUAGAUA